Molecule: long non-coding RNA, 416 nt
Filed under: Fukomys damarensis (Damara mole-rat)
Lineage: Eukaryota; Metazoa; Chordata; Mammalia; Rodentia; Bathyergidae
Description: lncRNA (ENSFDAG00000027546.1)
Source: RNAcentral
UUCAUAGCCAAACAAUUCUCUAAUUCUUUACUGUUGGCUUCUUUCUCUUUAGAUUGUGGAGUUGGACAUCUCCGUGGAGGUCACAAGAUCAAACCUCUCAGUUUAUGGAAAAGCAAUUGAUAGAAAAGCCUAGAGUGUCAAGUUAAUUGGACACACUGACAACAUUCAAACUUUCAACGUGAUAGACUGGAAGCCAGGCUAGAGAAAAACUUCUGGGUGUAAGAAAAUGUUACCAACCUAGAAGGAUAGCAGAAGACUUUCCCAGAGAACAAUACAAGAAAGCAAAAAGACAGCACAUCUUCAAGCCAGAACUCACAGGACAGCCACAGGUUGAGAUGAACCACAUUUGAGCUCUCAAUCUAAACAAACAGCUCAAAGACACAUGUAAUUUAGAUCAAAUGUCUAUGGAAACAAGA